GUGGAUAGUGAUAGUGUGACUAGUUGCUGACGAUCCCCGAGCCUGUAGCUUCGUAAUGAGAUCUAUAAAACAGAGGAAACAGAGUAAACGGAGUAAGCAUUACAAUGCUUAGUAAGUUUUAAGCAGUGUCAAUAGAUAACAAUCAAAUUAUAACAUAGCUGUUCGUAUUUUUAUUUCACUCUUCCUUCGGGCAUACCAUCCCUUUACCGAAU
Molecule: long non-coding RNA, 212 nt
Filed under: Gossypium barbadense (sea-island cotton)
Lineage: Eukaryota; Viridiplantae; Streptophyta; Magnoliopsida; Malvales; Malvaceae
Description: long non-coding RNA (GBAR_LNC004396)
Source: RNAcentral